GUUAAGUGAAUAAGGGCGCACGGCGGAUGCCUUGGCACUAGGAGCCGAUGAAGGACGGGACUAACACCGAUAUGC
RNAcentral lists this ribosomal RNA (75 nucleotides) under Virgibacillus marismortui. RNAcentral describes it as "partial 23S ribosomal RNA". The record is from RNAcentral. Lineage: Bacteria; Bacillati; Bacillota; Bacilli; Caryophanales; Bacillaceae.